GCCAGCGUAGCUCAGGGGUAGAGCAACGGUUUCGUAAACCGUCGGUCGUCGGUUCGAAUCCGACCGCUGGCU
This 72-nucleotide transfer RNA is filed under the name Chloroflexi bacterium RBG_13_51_36. RNAcentral describes it as "tRNA-Thr". It matches the Rfam family "tRNA". Rfam says of the family: Transfer RNA (tRNA) molecules are approximately 80 nucleotides in length. RNAcentral also lists the same sequence under 1 other name. Lineage: Bacteria; Bacillati; Chloroflexota. The record is from RNAcentral.